This 929-nucleotide ribosomal RNA is filed under the name Phlebia rufa. Its description in RNAcentral is "LSU rRNA". It matches the Rfam family "Eukaryotic large subunit ribosomal RNA", at positions 40 to 954 of the family's 3401-position model. The record is from RNAcentral. Lineage: Eukaryota; Fungi; Basidiomycota; Agaricomycetes; Polyporales; Meruliaceae.
AUAUCAAUAAGCGGAGGAAAAGAAACUAACAAGGAUUCCCCUAGUAACUGCGAGUGAAGCGGGAAAAGCUCAAAUUUAAAAUCUGGCGGUCUUCGAUCGUCCGAGUUGUAGUCUGGAGAAGCGUCUUCCGCGCUGGACCGUGUACAAGUCUCUUGGAACAGAGCGUCGUAGAGGGUGAGAAUCCCGUCUUUGACACGGACUGCCAGUGCUUUGUGAUGCGCUCUCAAAGAGUCGAGUUGUUUGGGAAUGCAGCUCAAAAUGGGUGGUAAAUUCCAUCUAAAGCUAAAUAUUGGCGAGAGACCGAUAGCGAACAAGUACCGUGAGGGAAAGAUGAAAAGCACUUUGGAAAGAGAGUUAAACAGUACGUGAAAUUGCUGAAAGGGAAACGAUUGAAGUCAGUCGCGUCGUCUAGAACUCAACCUGGCCUCGGCUCGGUGCAUUUUCUAGUUGACGGGCCAGCAUCAGUUUUGACCGUUGGAAAAAGGUCCUUGGAAUGUGGCACCUUCGGGUGUGUUAUAGCCUUGGGUCGUAUACGACGGUUGGGACUGAGGACCGCAGCACGCCUUUAUGGCCGGGGUUCGCCCACGUACGUGCUUAGGAUGCUGGCGUAAUGGCUUUAAACGACCCGUCUUGAAACACGGACCAAGGAGUCUAACAUGCCUGCGAGUGUUUGGGUGGUAAACCCGAGCGCGUAACGAAAGUGAAAGUUGGGAUCCCUGUCGUGGGGAGCACCGACGCCCACACCAGACCUUCUGUGACGGAUGUGCGGUUGAGCAUGUAUGUUGGGACCCGAAAGAUGGUGAACUAUGCCUGAAUAGGGUGAAGCCAGAGGAAACUCUGGUGGAGGCUCGUAGCGAUUUCUGACGUGCAAAUCGAUCGUCAAAUUUGGGUAUAGGGGCGAAAGACUAAUCGAACCAUCUAGUAGCUGG